RNAcentral lists this transfer RNA (84 nucleotides) under Wolbachia endosymbiont of Menacanthus eurysternus. RNAcentral describes it as "tRNA-Leu". It matches the Rfam family "tRNA". Rfam says of the family: Transfer RNA (tRNA) molecules are approximately 80 nucleotides in length. Lineage: Bacteria; Pseudomonadati; Pseudomonadota; Alphaproteobacteria; Rickettsiales; Anaplasmataceae. The record is from RNAcentral.
ACCCCUGUGGUGGAAUUGGAAGACACGGCAGACUCAAAAUCUGUUGCUAUUAAAAGCAUGCUGGUUCAAAUCCGGUCAGGGGUA